CAUGGCUCAGGAUGAACGCUAGCUACAGGCUUAACACAUGCAAGUCGAGGGGCAGCAUUUCAGUUUGCUUGCAAACUGGAGAUGGCGACCGGCGCACGGGUGAGUAACACGUAUCCAACCUGCCGAUAACUCGGGGAUAGCCUUUCGAAAGAAAGAUUAAUACCCGAUGGUAUAAUCAGACCGCAUGGUCUUGUUAUUAAAGAAUUUCGGUUAUCGAUGGGGAUGCGUUCCAUUAGGCAGUUGGUGAGGUAACGGCUCACCAAACCUUCGAUGGAUAGGGGUUCUGAGAGGAAGGUCCCCCACAUUGGAACUGAGACACGGUCCAAACUCCUACGGGAGGCAGCAGUGAGGAAUAUUGGUCAAUGGGCGCAGGCCUGAACCAGCCAAGUAGCGUGAAGGAUGACUGCCCUAUGGGUUGUAAACUUCUUUUAUAUGGGAAUAAAGUUUUCCACGUGUGGAAUUUUGUAUGUACCAUAUGAAUAAGGAUCGGCUAACUCCGUGCCAGCAGCCGCGGUAAUACGGAGGAUCCGAGCGUUAUCCGGAUUUAUUGGGUUUAAAGGGAGCGUAGGUGGACAGUUAAGUCAGUUGUGAAAGUUUGCGGCUCAACCGUAAAAUUGCAGUUGAUACUGGCUGUCUUGAGUACAGUAGAGGUGGGCGGAAUUCGUGGUGUAGCGGUGAAAUGCUUAGAUAUCACGAAGAACUCCGAUUGCGAAGGCAGCUCACUGGACUGCAACUGACACUGAUGCUCGAAAGUGUGGGUAUCAAACAGGAUUAGAUACCCUGGUAGUCCACACAGUAAACGAUGAAUACUCGCUGUUUGCGAUAUACAGUAAGCGGCCAAGCGAAAGCAUUAAGUAUUCCACCUGGGGAGUACGCCGGCAACGGUGAAACUCAAAGGAAUUGACGGGGGCCCGCACAAGCGGAGGAACAUGUGGUUUAAUUCGAUGAUACGCGAGGAACCUUACCCGGGCUUAAAUUGCAUUUGAAUAAUCUGGAAACAGGUUAGCCGCAAGGCAAAUGUGAAGGUGCUGCAUGGUUGUCGUCAGCUCGUGCCGUGAGGUGUCGGCUUAAGUGCCAUAACGAGCGCAACCCUUAUCUUUAGUUACUAACAGGUCAUGCUGAGGACUCUAGAGAGACUGCCGUCGUAAGAUGUGAGGAAGGUGGGGAUGACGUCAAAUCAGCACGGCCCUUACGUCCGGGGCUACACACGUGUUACAAUGGGGGGUACAGAAGGCAGCUACCUGGUGACAGGAUGCUAAUCCCAAAAGCCUCUCUCAGUUCGGAUCGAAGUCUGCAACCCGACUUCGUGAAGCUGGAUUCGCUAGUAAUCGCGCACCAGCCAUGGCGCGGUGAAUACGUUCCCGGGCCUUGUACACACCGCCCGUCAAGCCAUGAAAGCCGGGGGUACCUGAAGUACGUAACCGCAAGGAGCGUCCUAGGGUAAAACUGGUAA
RNAcentral lists this ribosomal RNA (1453 nucleotides) under uncultured organism. RNAcentral describes it as "SSU rRNA". It matches the Rfam family "Bacterial small subunit ribosomal RNA". The record is from RNAcentral.